Molecule: ribosomal RNA, 253 nt
Filed under: uncultured bacterium
Lineage: Bacteria
Description: partial 16S ribosomal RNA
Rfam family: Bacterial small subunit ribosomal RNA
Source: RNAcentral
UACGGAGGGGGCUAGCGUUGUUCGGAAUUACUGGGCGUAAAGGGCACGUAGGCGGCUUUGUAAGUUAGAGGUGAAAGCCCGGGGCUCAACUCCGGAAUUGCCUUUAAGACUGCAUCGCUAGAAUUGUGGAGAGGUAAGUGGAAUUCCGAGUGUAGAGGUGAAAUUCGUAGAUAUUCGGAAGAACACCAGUGGCGAAGGCGACUUACUGGACACAUAUUGACGCUGAGGUGCGAAAGCGUGGGGAGCAAACAGG